RNAcentral lists this ribosomal RNA (808 nucleotides) under Una usta. RNAcentral's name for it is "eukaryotic LSU rRNA". It matches the Rfam family "Eukaryotic large subunit ribosomal RNA", at positions 551 to 944 of the family's 3401-position model. The record is from RNAcentral. Lineage: Eukaryota; Metazoa; Arthropoda; Insecta; Lepidoptera; Lycaenidae.
ACCUGCGAAACUCGAAUGNNNNNACGGAGAGAUUCAUCGUCAUUCGGCGGCGUACGGGCGUGCGCCUCGAUGUGUGUCUGUCGUUUCGGCGAUACGGCGCGCACGGGACGCGUCCGUCGACGUCCGCCGACGGCGUGCACUUCCCUCUUAGUAAUGCAUCGCGACCCGUUCGGGGUCGGCCUAAGCGCCUCUCGGGAGUCCGUCGGCGAGCGUCUCGGCGUUCGCUGGCGUACCGUGGUUGGGUUGCCGGCCGGCCGUUGCGGACGGUACAUAUGAUGGAUAAUACGCUUCGAUGCGAACCGCGCACGCGUUUACGCGCGUCCGGCCCGACGCAAGCUAGCGUCCCGUUGGACGUCCUGCCCAAGUGCGGACGUACUUCGGUCGUUGCUGUCAGUCGCCGCCGUGCAGUCUCGGACUGUGCGCGUCUCUGUCUGCGAUGAUUCUGUUUCGGGCACUCGCAGGACCCGUCUUGAAACACGGACCAAGGAGUCUAGCAUGUGUGCGAGUCAUUGAGUUUGAUUCAACAGACAAAACUGAAAGGCACAACGAAAGUGAAGGCGUGCGCUUGUCGCGCGCUCAGGGAGGAUGGAGCGUCGGUCUCGGUCGAUCUCUCGCACUCCCUAGGCGUCUCGUUUCCAAUCAGUGAAUGCGGGCGCGCUAUGAGCACAGAUGCUGGGACCCGAAAGAUGGUGAACUAUGCCUGGUCAGGUCGAAGUCAGGGGAAACCCUGAUGGAGGACCGUAGCGAUUCUGACGUGCAAAUCGAUCGUCNNNACUGGGUAUAGGGGCGAAAGACUAAUCGAACCAUC